RNAcentral lists this ribosomal RNA (1372 nucleotides) under uncultured bacterium. RNAcentral describes it as "bacterial SSU rRNA". It matches the Rfam family "Bacterial small subunit ribosomal RNA", at positions 28 to 1381 of the family's 1533-position model. The record is from RNAcentral.
GAUGAACGCUGGCGGCGUGCCUAAUACAUGCAAGUCGAGCGAACGGACGAGAAGCUUGCUUCUCUGAUGUUAGCGGCGGACGGGUGAGUAACACGUGGAUAACCUACCUAUAAGACUGGGAUAACUUCGGGAAACCGGAGCUAAUACCGGAUAAUAUUUUGAACCGCAUGGUUCAAAAGUGAAAGACGGUCUUGCUGUCACUUAUAGAUGGAUCCGCGCUGCAUUAGCUAGUUGGUAAGGUAACGGCUUACCAAGGCAACGAUGCAUAGCCGACCUGAGAGGGUGAUCGGCCACACUGGAACUGAGACACGGUCCAGACUCCUACGGGAGGCAGCAGUAGGGAAUCUUCCGCAAUGGGCGAAAGCCUGACGGAGCAACGCCGCGUGAGUGAUGAAGGUCUUCGGAUCGUAAAACUCUGUUAUUAGGGAAGAACAUAUGUGUAAGUAACUGUGCACAUCUUGACGGUACCUAAUCAGAAAGCCACGGCUAACUACGUGCCAGCAGCCGCGGUAAUACGUAGGUGGCAAGCGUUAUCCGGAAUUAUUGGGCGUAAAGCGCGCGUAGGCGGUUUUUUAAGUCUGAUGUGAAAGCCCACGGCUCAACCGUGGAGGGUCAUUGGAAACUGGAAAACUUGAGUGCAGAAGAGGAAAGUGGAAUUCCAUGUGUGGCGGUGAAAUGCGCAGAGAUAUGGAGGAACACCAGUGGCGAAGGCGACUUUCUGGUCUGUAACUGACGCUGAUGUGCGAAAGCGUGGGGAUCAAACAGGAUUAGAUACCCUGGUAGUCCACGCCGUAAACGAUGAGUGCUAAGUGUUAGGGGGUUUCCGCCCCUUAGUGCUGCAGCUAACGCAUUAAGCACUCCGCCUGGGGAGUACGACCGCAAGGUUGAAACUCAAAGGAAUUGACGGGGACCCGCACAAGCGGUGGAGCAUGUGGUUUAAUUCGAAGCAACGCGAAGAACCUUACCAAAUCUUGACAUCCUUUGACAACUCUAGAGAUAGAGCCUUCCCCUUCGGGGGACAAAGUGACAGGUGGUGCAUGGUUGUCGUCAGCUCGUGUCGUGAGAUGUUGGGUUAAGUCCCGCAACGAGCGCAACCCUUAAGCUUAGUUGCCAUCAUUAAGUUGGGCACUCUAAGUUGACUGCCGGUGACAAACCGGAGGAAGGUGGGGAUGACGUCAAAUCAUCAUGCCCCUUAUGAUUUGGGCUACACACGUGCUACAAUGGACAAUACAAAGGGCAGCGAAACCGCGAGGUCAAGCAAAUCCCAUAAAGUUGUUCUCAGUUCGGAUUGUAGUCUGCAACUCGACUACAUGAAGCUGGAAUCGCUAGUAAUCGUAGAUCAGCAUGCUACGGUGAAUACGUUCCCGGGUCU